RNAcentral lists this long non-coding RNA (207 nucleotides) under Cyanistes caeruleus (blue tit). Its description in RNAcentral is "lncRNA (ENSCCEG00000001600.1)". The record is from RNAcentral. Lineage: Eukaryota; Metazoa; Chordata; Aves; Passeriformes; Paridae.
AAGCUCUUUCAGAUUUGAGUAGGUAAACAACAUUCAGGUCUGUAUGUAUUCUUCUACCAAGUACAUAAGAAGUACAUAAAAGAAGUAGAAAAAGACCACAAAUAGUUAAUUGGAGUAUCCAGUGCUUCCACUGUCAUGAGGAUGAGAAGGAGCAUCAUUUGAAGAUGUGACAACUGUAAGGCUACCUUUCUGCAAGUUAAACCUGAG